CAGUGAUGAAAGCUCCUAAAGAGAGGAUGGACGGUUUCACCGCAUUAGUGACAGAAAGAGCAAGGUGACGUCACAGCGGGGUUAAAUGAGUUGUUAUAUUAUAAAACGACACAGACUCUUAAGGGAGACGUGCAGUUUUAAAGUAGAUGGUCCUUUCUAAGCGCUCAAGCCUCCAGUCGUUGUCAAAUGUACUGUUCUGAAAACGAACAUUAAAGGGCAGAAAUCCUUCGAUUGUUCGUCGUUUUUGUGAUAAAAGACGUUAACGGGCACAAUGUUUACAUGCGCGGAGUUCAGGUGUCGCUCUGUCUUGUAAAGGAAGUGACGCAAGUGAAAGUGAAAGCACACAAGAGGGUGGCGGUAGAUUUCGCGGAGCUGUUGUCUGUUUUGUCCUGCCAAAGGUUGUUAAAACUGAGAUUCAGGCUCCGAGAAGAGAAGCCCAUGAGCUAACCUUUACACGGUUUUCACCUCGUCCAGACAGAUGCAGAAGUCCGAGUCAGACCCAUUUACCUCUCAUCCAGUGAGUGAUGGGGACCCAACAGUGAAACCAGCCCAGACUGAUCAAGGAAGGCAGAUGUGUGACAAAGGGGUUUGGAUGGAGGAGAGUGACUCAUCCUCACAGAAGAGUGACAGCUCAGUGAUUCAGCCAGUCCAUUUGAGUCAUGGGCCUGCAGGCAAAAGGAAUCAGGCAGACUCAUCAACACCAGAUCAUCUUUCAGUGAAGAGUGAAAGCUCAAUGAUUCAGCCAGUAGUUUUCAGUCAAGGAGAACAGUCUCAACAGUCAAGGGUUCAGAUGGACUCAUCAGUACCAGAUCAUCUUUCAAUGAAGAGCGAAGGCUCAAUGAUUCAACCAAUAGUUUUCCGUCAAGGAGAGCAGUCGAAACAGGUUCAUAUGGACUCAUUAACACCAGACCAUCUUUCAAUGAAGAGCGAAGGCUCAAUGAUUCAGCCAAUAGUUUUCAGUCAAGGAGAACAGUCUAAAGAUACAGUGUACCAACCAGAGCACAAUAGACCUUGCUCUAGUGCUGCUGGAAUUACGGAGCCUGGUCACAUGGAGCUAAGUCUCUGCCAAAAACAUAACAGAGAUCUGGCUAUGUUGUGCAUAAGUGAUAAGAAUCCUAUUUGCAAGGAGUGUGCAGUGAAGGAUCACAGAGAUCAUGAAAAACAGUACUUAAAGGUAAAUGUUAUACAAGUUCUUAUAUUACUUCUUGAUUCUAAUAAAAGUUAAUUUAGCAUUAGUAGGGCUGGGCAAUAAAACAAUAACGAUAAUUAUCACAGUAUAACAACUUAUUCGAUAGAAAUAUAAGAAAUGGUCAGUAUUAUAGACCAUUCUUACUCUAAAUGAGUGAAAUGAGUCACCAAAUAUACUUUAGCAACGUCUGAUAUAUAUGUUUUAUAUUCCCUGUUUGAGUGGAGCGAUUGGUUAUCUGUUCUCCUGUGGCCAAGUGUGACAAGUAGCGCAACUAGACAGUAACUGUACUGUCUUAGAGUGAACUCACCUCUUUACUUACAUCCUAACGAGCUUUAGCAGCGUUAAAUCAUGUCUGCUCCACACAACUACAGCGCUGUGUUACAAUAUUUUCAUAUUUUAGUAUUAGUGCAUUCCCAAGCAACACAAGUGAAAGAAUGAAGUGGGUUCAUGCAAGUUACAGCCGUGAUUUUAACGAAAGUAAACCGAAGAUGCUGUAUGUGAGGCAUUGGAGAGUGGGAGAACGCUAGUUUUCCAGGCUAGCUGUUUUUCUGGCUAACUUGAAGCAGCACUGUCACUUGCACAGCAUGGUGAAUUGAUGAUACUGUAGAUCAAACGAGACAAAAACGGUAAUUUUAGUUUAAAUGUACCUAAAAGGAGGACUCUGUUUGUCUAGUGUGAGAGAUUUGGCAAGUGUUUGUGAUGUUCCAACCAUAAAGGAUAGUUUAAAACAACCACUCAGGAGCUCAGGAGCAAAAAUCAGCCUUCAAACUUGAAAUGAAUUAAAAAUUUGACAUUUGUUGCAAUAUGUAUCAAUAUCAAUAUCACCUUUUGAACGGGUGGGGAGGAAAGACGCUGGGGGCAGGGGUGAAGGCAGAGAGCAGAUUUAUUCUUUUAAACCCAACUUAAAUGGCUUUUAGGCCUGUCACAUUAACGUCUCGCGGACUCGUUCAGUUUGGCUCCCUUUCGCGCCUUUGCCAGGUUCUCCUUCUCUCUCGAAGCUCUGCCGCCUACUGAAGGGAGAGAUGACUAUAAGUAGGCUGGCAGAAACAAGGCACAGGUGAGCAUCGUCAGCUACUUAACCCGCUGGUUCAACCGGACCGGCCUCUCCGUCCCGCAUUCAAUGCUCGGCCAUGCCCCCUUCUCCACAAUCAACUAAUAUAACUGAAUAUCAUAAUAUAACUGAAUUUUUUUUUUACCGUGAUAACAUUUUUGGUCAUAUUGUCCAGCUCUUAGUAUUAGUAAUGCAUGUAAUUUCAUAGCUAAUAGUUCCAGUGGAUAGAUUCCGUUUAUCUUACAAAAUAGUGCAAUAGAUGAAAAUAAAUGUACUAAUUUAAUUCUGUAAAUAGGCAAGUUGUGAAAACAUAUCUAAUAAAACCUAGA
Long non-coding RNA from Pygocentrus nattereri (red-bellied piranha), 2569 nucleotides. NCBI's taxonomy places the organism in Eukaryota, Metazoa, Chordata, Actinopteri, Characiformes, Serrasalmidae. The record is from Ensembl.